CCUAGUGGUGAGAGCAGGUAGCCCAGUGGUUAGAGCAGCUAGCCUAGUGGUUAGAGCCUAGUGGUUAGAGCAGGUAGCCUAGUGGUUAGAGCCCAGUGGUUAGAGCAGGUAGCCUAGUGGUUAGAGCAGGUAGCAUAGUUGUUAGAGCAGGUAGCCUAGUGGUUAGAGCAGGUAGCCUAGUGGUUAGAGCAGGUAGCCUAGUGGUUAGAGCCUAGUGGUUAGAGCAGGUAGCCUAGUGGUUAGAGCAGGUAGCCUAGUGGUUAGAGCCUAGUGGUUAGAGCAGGUAGCCUAGUGGUUAGAGCCUAGUGGUUAGAGCAGGUAGCCUAGUGGUUAGAGCCUAGUGGUUAGAGCAGGUAGCCUAGUGGUUAGAGCAGGUAGCCUAGUGGUUAGAGCCUAGUGGUUAGAGCAGGUAGCCUAGUGGUUAGAGCCUAGUGGUUAGAGCAGGUAGCCUAGUGGUUAGAGCCUAGUGGUUAGAGCAGGUAGCCUAGUGGUUAGAGCCUAGUGGUUAGAGCAGGUAGCCUAGUGGUUAGAGCCUAGUGGUUAGAGCAGGUAGCCUAGUGGUUAGA
This is a long non-coding RNA of Oncorhynchus keta (chum salmon), 566 nucleotides long. RefSeq lists it as uncharacterized. The record is from RefSeq and is a predicted model, not a curated record. The transcript is spliced from 3 exons. NCBI's taxonomy places the organism in Eukaryota, Metazoa, Chordata, Actinopteri, Salmoniformes, Salmonidae.